This 26-nucleotide non-coding RNA is filed under the name Mus musculus (house mouse). The record is from RNAcentral. Lineage: Eukaryota; Metazoa; Chordata; Mammalia; Rodentia; Muridae.
UGGUGAAUGUAAGUGCCCUGGCUAGG